This 128-nucleotide non-coding RNA is filed under the name Linnemannia elongata AG-77. RNAcentral's name for it is "Mortierella elongata AG-77 Eukaryotic large subunit ribosomal RNA". It matches the Rfam family "Eukaryotic large subunit ribosomal RNA", at positions 3273 to 3401 of the family's 3401-position model. Lineage: Eukaryota; Fungi; Mortierellomycota; Mortierellomycetes; Mortierellales; Mortierellaceae. The record is from Rfam by way of RNAcentral.
GUUAAUUUCAAAUAUUGUCAAGGAUAAAUCCGUUGCAGACGACUUUAAUUGAACGGGGUAUUGUAAGCAGUAGAGUAGCCUUGUUGCUACGACCUGCUGAGAUUAAGCCCAUUGUUCUAUAGAUUUGU